AACGAACGCUGGCGGCAGGCUUAACACAUGCAAGUCGAGCGCCCCGCAAGGGGAGCGGCAGACGGGUGAGUAACGCGUGGGAAUCUACCCAUCUCUACGGAAUAACUCAGGGAAACUUGUGCUAAUACCGUAUACGCCCUUUUGGGGAAAGAUUUAUCGGAGAUGGAUGAGCCCGCGUUGGAUUAGCUAGUUGGUGGGGU
Molecule: ribosomal RNA, 200 nt
Filed under: uncultured bacterium
Lineage: Bacteria
Description: partial 16S ribosomal RNA
Rfam family: Bacterial small subunit ribosomal RNA
Source: RNAcentral